Molecule: ribosomal RNA, 253 nt
Filed under: uncultured bacterium
Lineage: Bacteria
Description: partial 16S ribosomal RNA
Rfam family: Bacterial small subunit ribosomal RNA
Source: RNAcentral
UACGGGGGGGGCAAGCGUUGUUCGGAAUUACUGGGCGUAAAGGGCUCGUAGGUGGCCAACUAAGUCGGACGUGAAAUCCCUCGGCUUAACCGGGGAACUGCGUCCGAUACUGGUUGGCUUGAGUUUGGGAGAGGGAUGCGGAAUUCCAGGUGUAGCGGUGAAAUGCGUAGAUAUCUGGAGGAACACCGGUGGCGAAGGCGGCGACCUGGGCCAAUACUGACGCUGAGGUGCGAAAGCUAGGGGAGCAAACGGG